Molecule: long non-coding RNA, 2184 nt
Organism: Neopsephotus bourkii (Bourke's parrot)
Lineage: Eukaryota; Metazoa; Chordata; Aves; Psittaciformes; Psittacidae
Exons: 3
Source: RefSeq, a predicted model, not a curated record
AUAGAUUGCUUUCAAUUUUUGUUACUAUAUUUCAUUUCUGUCUGAAUAAAAAUAAGCUUAUUUCUGUUUAGGCAUCUCAAAAUACUGUUGGUUAAUGUUGUGUGACAAAGCCCAGAUACGGAAAAGCUGAGUGUCGCAGGUCUUCAGCCUGUAAAAACCCUUGAUCUUUUUUCUGUCACUUGAGACUUGGAGAAAUACCCCAGCCACUGGAGGAGACAGUCCUUUUGGUGCUCAGCUCUGGGGCUCGUGCUGCAGAGCUGCUUUCAUUUGAUUCAAAUACUAAAGCAGGUUUUACUCUUAGAGGGAGUAAAAUGACUCGAAAUUGCCUCAUUCCAUUCUCUCUAAUUUGAAAGCAUUGCCUGCCCUUCUGUUUGCCUUUCACACAGUACCACCUCGCUUUGGAAGACCCAUCCUGAUUCCACUUUCUAAGGUGCAUCUCUGGGCACAGUACAGAAUAUAUUUGAUUCCUCUGUAUAUUCUGCUAUUAGGGUCUUAUGCAGAAGAAUUUAUACCCUGUCUAGAUCUGUGGUUUAGCUCAGAUCAGGAAUAUGCUUCUGAAGCCAAUUUGCCUGUCCCUGCUGAAUGUGCUUUGAUUCACAUCAUGGAGCAGUCCUGGGGUACUUCAUCUCUUUCAGAUGAAACUGAAGAGGUUGAUGUGUUCCAAGCGCACAUUUGAUGCUCACCAGCUGCAUUCAGCCCCUGAUGGAACCUGCCUAGUUUGUGUUUGAGGUAAACUCCCAUGAAGCAUGCACAGUGAAGAUGUCAGGUCAUCAGCACCCACUGCUUCAUUCCACAGCUCUCUUCCUAGUGAACCCCGGUCCUUGCUGAUGUGUACAUGGCCUGUGUCUUGUGAAUGUGAUUGCUGUUAGCAGGAGUGGUAUCUGUCUCUUUGGUCCUGGAAGUCCUUGUGGAAAUGUCUCUUCAUGAUGUUUCCACACAUCCAAUUGAACUUUCUUUAUAUUAGGAGGGAAGGAAGAGGGAAAUCAGGUCCUUGCCAGAGCCCAGUGUGAGGUUUUACUGAAUACAUGGCAUAUUGCUCAGUGAUGGAGUUCUAUUUUGCCUUAACUGGAGAAGCUGGAAUCAACUGUAUUUAGGUUAUUUAUUUAAAUAAUGUUUCUGGAGGCUUCUGGGACACAUUUUCUUUUCCAUUUUCUUUCCUGCCUUCCCAAAAAUCUCUUUCCCAGAAGAAGUGAUAGAGGCUGACCUUCAGAUGCCAUGUUUCUUCGUGUGGUAUGUAUUUUGAGAAAGAUUGAAGCUAGUGAGACUAAAGGAAAACUAAAUAUAUCACAGGGCAUCAGCACUCUCCAGAAACAUAAGAAAGCCUGCUUGAAAAAUGAAAUGAAGCAUUCUUUGGUUGGUUUAAUCCACAAGACAGGAACACUCACCACAUAUUUCUACAUGAUUUGCUGCUUCUCUGUUUCCUUCUUGCUCUAAAGUUAAGCAGGUCAAGGCUGGGAAAAUUGGCUGCAUAAGAAAUAAACAUCAGUGAAACAAUACAGGGCCAAUAAAGGAAUUGUCUGCAUUUCCUCUGCAAACAACUGUAUGCAAGGAUUGGGAUAUAUUUCAAGCCUUGGAAGCCCAGGUCCAUUUCUGCCAGUUCCUCAAUGGGUCUGGAAGUCUCAGCCCAUUUUUGCCAGGAUGCAUGAGGGAGGCACUCAGCUUGUAUUCAGGUCAGUGAAGCUCUUUGGGGGAAGCACAAGACCUGCGUGCAUUGAUUCAUGUCCAAUUCAGAUUUGAAUUCCCAAUGGAGCUUUAAUUCACCUGUCACAUCCUCCAUCUUCUUUGUCCCACCUCUGUUCUGUCAGUAAAAACUAAGCAGCAAACAGAGUCUCUGUAAACUUCAGCCCACUGUCAUUUGCAGUUACUGCUCGGACAGAAUGCAUGCUCUGCAUAUCCAGUAUUAGCCAUGGUUUUACUUUGGCCAUUAAGGAAGGGUCUCUCUAAUUUCAGUUUUGAUUCUGCAGAUUUUCUCAAGGCUGAGCUGUGGGGAUUAAAUCCAAGCAGCUGCUCUCAAAGUUUCUAAGACCAAGUCUCCCUUCUUCUUUUCUUCCUUUAGGUUUGUCUCUCCUUACAGUCCCUGUUUAAAUAUGCCCUUUUUUCCUGCUUUGCCCCAAGAUUUGUCAUUUCUGAACUACAGGCCCCAAAGUCUCUUUUGGAUGCAGUAGUUCCCUGUUGUGAAAAACA